RNAcentral lists this ribosomal RNA (329 nucleotides) under Platypleura brunea. RNAcentral describes it as "partial 16S ribosomal RNA". Lineage: Eukaryota; Metazoa; Arthropoda; Insecta; Hemiptera; Cicadidae. The record is from RNAcentral.
UCUUUUAAUUGAAGGCUUGAAUGAAAGAUUGGAUGAAAAAUAAACUUUAUUAAUAUAAAUUAUUUAAUUUAUUAUUUAAGUAAAAAUUCUUAAAUGUGUAAGUGGGACGAGAAGACCCUAUAGAGUUUUAUUUUUAUUUCUAUUAUUAAAUUAAAGAAUUAAUAUUUUUAUAAUAUAAAUGAAUUUUUUAUUGGGGUGAUAUUAAAAAUUUAUGAACUUUUAAUAAAUAUUUCAUUAAUAUAUGUAUAUUUGAUCCAAAAAAAUUUUGAUUAUAAGAUUUAAUUACCUUAGGGAUAACAGCGUUAUUAAUUUGAAGAGUUCAAAUCGAU